ACGUAGGCAGCAAGCGUUGUUCGGAGUUACUGGGCGUAAAGAGUGUGUAGGCGGUUCGCCAAGUUCGGUGUGAAAUCUCCCGGCUUAACUGGGAGGGUGCGCCGAAUACUGGCGGGCUAGAGUGUGGUAGAGGAGGGCGGAAUUCCUGGUGUAGCGGUGAAAUGCGUAGAUAUCAGGAGGAACACCUGAUGGGUAGGCGGCUCUCUGGGCCGUUUCUGACGCUGAGACACGAAAGCGUGGGUAGCAAACAG
RNAcentral lists this ribosomal RNA (251 nucleotides) under uncultured prokaryote. RNAcentral describes it as "partial 16S rRNA". It matches the Rfam family "Bacterial small subunit ribosomal RNA", at positions 525 to 775 of the family's 1533-position model. The record is from RNAcentral.